Ancylostoma duodenale is the source of this 162-nucleotide non-coding RNA. The record is from Rfam. NCBI's taxonomy places the organism in Eukaryota, Metazoa, Nematoda, Chromadorea, Rhabditida, Ancylostomatidae.
AAACUUACCUGGCUGGGGGCGUCUCGCGAUCAUCAAGGCGGAACCCCCAUGGUGAGGCCCGCGCAUUGCACUUUCGCCCGGGCUGACCCGUGUGGCAGUCUCGAACUGAGAUUCGCCAACAGCUAAAUUUUUGUGUGUGGGGCUGCGUACGCGCGGCCCUGA